UACGAAGGGGGCUAGCGUUGCUCGGAAUCACUGGGCGUAAAGCGCACGUAGGCGGCUUCUUAAGUCAGGGGUGAAAUCCUGGAGCUCAACUCCAGAACUGCCUUUGAUACUGAGAAGCUUGAGUCCGGGAGAGGUGAGUGGAACUGCGAGUGUAGAGGUGAAAUUCGUAGAUAUUCGGAGGAACACCAGAAGCGAAGGCGGCUCACUGGCCCGAUACUGACGCUGAGGCGCGAAAGCGUGGGGAGCAAACAGG
This 253-nucleotide ribosomal RNA is filed under the name uncultured bacterium. RNAcentral describes it as "partial 16S ribosomal RNA". It matches the Rfam family "Bacterial small subunit ribosomal RNA", at positions 524 to 776 of the family's 1533-position model. The record is from RNAcentral.